UAAGAUAAGAACAGUUCUACAGGGAGCUGGGGAGACUCCCGCGGGAUUCUUAGAAAGACUAAUGGAAGCAUACCGCAUGUAUACACCGUUUGAUCCGGCAAGUGAAGAUAGGCAGGGGGAAGUGAUUAUGGCUUUCAUAGGACAGUCGGCACCAGACAUUCGAAAUAAGUUACAAAGACUAGAAGGAUUGCAGAAUUAUAGCUUGCAGGACUUAGUAAAAGAGGCAGAUAAAAUUUUCAAUAAGAGAGAGACUCCGGGAGAGAGAGAAGAGAGACUAAGAAAGAUGCAGGAAGAAAGAGAGGAUAAGAGAGAUAAGCGACGGAAUAAAGAACUGAGCCGUAUCUUGGCCACUGUAGUUCAUAACAAGCAAAUAACAUCCCAGGGAACUGAGAUAGGGAGACAGUUUAAGGAACAGGGAGGUGAGCGGCGAAACCGUUUAGGGAAAGAUCAAUGUGCUUACUGUAAAGAAAACGGCCAUUGGGCAAAGGAUUGUCCCAACAAUCCUAGAAACAAGAAAAGGCAGACCUCAGUUUUGACUUUAAAAGACUAGGCCAGUCGGGGCCAGGAGCCUCCCCCUGAGCCCAGGCUAACUCUGUCUGUGGGAGGCAAGCCCACCACGUUUCUAGUAGACACCGGGGCUCAACAUUCAGUUUUGACAACUACUGAUGGACCUAUGAGCCAGAAGACCUCGUGGGUACAGGGAGCCACAGGAGGACGCGCGUACCGGUGGACGACUGAUCGGCGGGUCGACUUAGCUACAGACUGAGCCCGGCGAGCCAACCUUUAUUUGCUUUUGAAUGGAGAGAUCCGGAACAUGGAGUAAGUGGGCAACUGACUUGGACUCGAUUGCCACAAGGCUUCAAAAAUUCCCCCACCAUCUUUGAUGAGGCCCUACAUCAAGACUUGGUGGCAUUCAGAUUAAAUAACCCCAAUCUGACUCUCCUCCAAUAUGUAGAUGAUCUCUUGCUGGCAGCACCUACCAGAGAGGCCUGC
Long non-coding RNA from Ochotona curzoniae (black-lipped pika), 993 nucleotides. RefSeq lists it as uncharacterized. The transcript is spliced from 2 exons. Lineage: Eukaryota; Metazoa; Chordata; Mammalia; Lagomorpha; Ochotonidae. The record is from RefSeq and is a predicted model, not a curated record.